Molecule: unclassified non-coding RNA, 353 nt
Filed under: soil metagenome
Description: partial contains 5.8S ribosomal RNA, internal transcribed spacer 2, and large subunit ribosomal RNA
Rfam family: 5.8S ribosomal RNA (bases 1-120)
Source: RNAcentral
GAUGAAGAACGUAGCGAAAUGCGAUAAGUAAUGUGAAUUGCAGAAUUCAGUGAAUCAUCAAAUCUUUGAACGCACAUUGCGCCCGCCAGUAUUCUGGCGGGCAUGCCUGUUCGAGCGUCAUUACAACCCUCAGGCCCCCGGGCCUGGCGUUGGGGAUCGGCGGAAGCCCCCUGCGGGCACAACGCCGUCCCCCAAAUACAGUGGCGGUCCCGCCGCAGCUUCCAUUGCGUAGUAGCUAACACCUCGCAACUGGAGAGCGGCGCGGCCACGCCGUAAAACACCCAACUUCUGAAUGUUGACCUCGAAUCAGGUAGGAAUACCCGCUGAACUUAAGCAUAUCAAUAAGCGGAGGA